Molecule: long non-coding RNA, 3016 nt
Organism: Lepisosteus oculatus (spotted gar)
Lineage: Eukaryota; Metazoa; Chordata; Actinopteri; Semionotiformes; Lepisosteidae
Source: Ensembl
GUAACUCUAGGGUGCAUGAAUAUUCUGCUUAUCAGCUCGCAAUCUGGAAGUCACUGAGUGCAUGAAGAUGUGACUUCAUUUGAAUGGAUGCAGGCAUCUUCCAGAGGUCUGGUGGCAUAUUUGGGAAUCACAGCUGUCUGCAUUCCACUGCACCUCUAUUUAAAGCGACCUUUGCUGCAAACCUCCAAUUGUUGUUCCAUUCCAAUAAAACUUGUAAAACCAACAGGACGCUAUGAGCAACACGGCCCAGCUGAGCGCCUCUCGGUAUGUCGUCCCGGUCCUGCUCAUGGUGGGCUGGGUAGUGGGAUGUGCGGUAGUGGUCUAUUUUGUAUUUUCAUAGGAAGAAAUAUAAAAAGAGACUAAGAACAACAUGUCACAAGAAUCAAGAUCUGUUUAGUAUGUGUGAAUAUCCUGAAGCAAAUUGAGCAUCCUCAUGUAAAUACAAAACAUGCUUUAAAUAACCUGUAAUGCUGUACCAAACAAGCUUUGUUUUCAUUUUUCUGAGCUGUCAUCCAUGUUUUUAGAGGCAUUUAUGAGAUAGUCAACUGAUUUGUCAGUUAACAAAUUGUAUUAAAUGAAUUCCUUUGUUUUAUUUUUUAUAGACAUAAUGCUAUUCAUUAUCUACAUAAGAUCUUACAACAACUGUAAUGGCCAUUUAUGAGGGUUUAUCUUUUUCCCUUUGUAUUUCAAACACUGAUGAUUAUCAUAUCAGUAAUGUGGACUGUGAAUAUCAAAUAAUUACCUUUGUUACCCAAAGAAUGAGCAAGAAACCAACGAACUUCACUACUUUAAUCAAUUUACUAUUUUAAAUAUAUUCCUUUUUAAGAGUGCAAUAACCCAAUUUAUUAACAUAAUAGAAGUAAUUAAGUCCUGCAAUACCAUAUAUUCUCUUAUUUAGUUGGAAAUUACACAAUCUCAUUUAGUCGGCUUUAUGCCAGAGCUGUGCUUGGUUUAAUCUACUAGCACAUUACUCUUUGGGCACACUCAACAUAAUUGUUAAAAACAUUGAGCAUUUUCAGUAAAUUGUUACAAGCAUGCCAGAGGUCACUAAUUUGAAGACAGAUUUGAGCAUUAGGUGCUGUGAGUGAUACAGUUUCCCUGGUAACAGGAAAAUCAUAGCCCUUUCCAAGAAUCCAUCUUCUAAAUUGGGAGAGCUUUUACAGUGAUACAUAGUACUGUAUAUCUAUAUGAACAACUAACGCAAAGCCUUAAAUGCAUAGUAGUCCCCCAUAGUGAUUCAUCAGAAACUCCUCAGUAACUGAUUGUCUUUCUGAUAAAUUAUUUGUACACGAUAAAACACAAUACAUAAAAGUCAUGUUUUUCGAACCACAAUCCAUUUACUUUUGUUUUUCCUUGGCAAAACAAUGUUGAUCUAUUUGCAGCAUUUAUCCUUAAAGGAGAGGACAGUGCCACUAAUGAUAUGUAACAUGCAAAGACAGAUGUACACAUGCAGUAUGUCUUUUAGAUUCCUCUGUAAAACACUACUGUUAUUAUUUUUCCAUUAAGAAGGCCGCUGACACACAGAUCACCUCAGAUGAAUUAGUUCAGAAGUUUGUCCACAGUUUGUUCACAGAGAAAGCCUCAUGCGUUUGUGCCAUUUCUUUAAGAGCCCAUUGACAUGCAGAGGUAACAGAUUGAAUAACCAAAGAGAGAAGAUUUCAGGACCAUCUAGUAGAGUGGCAGCAGUAGGAGGCUAAGAAUAGCUUUAAAGUGUCAUUUCUAAUGCCUCCUAAUACCAUUUGCACCCUAUUACUGUGAAAUACUGUACAUUUCAAAGCCAGACCUUGAAAAACAUCUGUCAUUUCCUGAUUAUGUAAACACAUAUACUAUUUUUUUUCAUUAAAACAGUGUUGGGGAUAAAAUUGCCUAACAUAUAACCACCGGUUCCAAGAUACAGUCUGCUGCAGGCCUGUAAUCCUAGUCCUUGAAGACGGGGAAAAAAAAUAGAAAAUGGACUGGCCUCCAUAUUUGUAUUAAAUGACUCAUUUAAUAAGCAAGAUCUUUGUAUUUUUGUACCUAGGAACUAAAAUUUAGAACAUGUAUAUUAUUGCCACUGUGCACAUUUUGUGCAUUUAUGCAUUCAUGGGAAGUACAUGUACUGUAUAAUACCCACAGUCUAAAAUUCUACAUGAGAGGUUUUGAACCUCAUUGUACAAAUCUGAAGACUGCAGAUGACUUUUUAAAGGGAUGCACGGAAACAGAGCCAAGAUAAGCAACCUUUCAUGCAUUCUGACAGAAGGAAAGACUUCAUUUUUUUUGCAUUGGAAUAAAGGGGUAUUAACAUCCCAGCAGUAAAAAGCCACAUGACAUUGAAUGAGGGAAGCCAGUUUAAUCACAGAUCAAAACAGUCUUUGCUCCAAAAUUCAGCUAAGAACAGUAAGCAGCCUUUCGCCUUGUUGCAUUCCACUGAGGUUAUACAGGGAGAGCAAGUGUCUAUUUCAGCCUUUUCAAAUCAAUGAUGUGUCUCCAGUUUAUUUCAACUGACAGAUCUUUCUGUGGAUCCCUGACCUCUCCCACCAGGUGACAUAUUUUCCACUCCAUAUUUCAAACCUGUCAGAGGCUGUAGUACUGCCAAGUUAUUUGCAUGGUGGCUGAAAUGGCAGGCCACAAGUGUAACAGGGAAAAGCAGGCCAUGUACUUAAUGCAUCUGACUUUCACACACCGAAUCACUUUCUCCAGAACUUGUUUGGGGUUUGAAAGUCCUGGCAUCAGCUUCUUGCACUAUACCACAGCAGGCAGCUUGAACCUCUACGGCUCACAGUACAAUUGCCAAUUGUGACAUGAGAUUUGGAAGCUUCAUAAUUUAUCCCUAACAUACCUGUGACCUGUGAGGCCAUCAAAAACCACUACCUGCAAAAUGAAGUAGGUUGAAAAUAAAAUAAUCCUAAGAAAAAAAUGCAUAUUUUUCCUUUUUCUCUGCUUUUGUAGUGGAUAUUGCUUUCAAACAUAGCCGAAAUGCAAAAGUUUUAAAUCUGAUUCCGAAAUCAUCAUGGAGUACAGUGAUAAAGACGCAAGG